CCUAAAGCGCCCGGGAAUUACGAGCAAUGCUUAAAACCCAAAGGACUUGACGGUGUCCCAGCCAACUAGAGGAGCCUGUUCUAUAAUCGAUGACCCGCGUUUCACCUCACCCCCCCCUUGCCCCCACAGUCUGUAUACCUCCGUCGCAAGCCCGCCACUUGAGUGACCCCCAGCGGGCUCAACGGCCCUAUCGCCAAUACGUCAGGUCAAGGUGCAGCCCACGGGAGGGGAAGUAAUGGGCUACAAUUUCUAAUCUAGAACAAACGAAAUACUGCAUGAAACACAGUCAUGAAGGAGGAUUUAGUAGUAAAAAGAAAAUAGCACAUUCUUUUUAACACGGCCCUGGGACGUGUACACACCGCCCGUCACCCUC
RNAcentral lists this ribosomal RNA (373 nucleotides) under Phrynoderma karaavali. RNAcentral describes it as "partial 12S ribosomal RNA". It matches the Rfam family "Bacterial small subunit ribosomal RNA", at positions 858 to 1404 of the family's 1533-position model. The record is from RNAcentral. Lineage: Eukaryota; Metazoa; Chordata; Amphibia; Anura; Dicroglossidae.